UACAGAGGGGGCAAGCGUUGUUCGGAAUUACUGGGCUUAAAGGGUGCGUAGGCGGCGCGGAAAGUUGGGUGUGAAAUCCCUCGGCUCAACCGAGGAAUUGCGCUCAAAACUACCGUGCUCGAGGGAGAUAGAGGAAUGCGGAACUUACGGUGGAGCGGUGAAAUGCGUUGAUAUCGUAGGGAACACCGGUGGCGAAAGCGGCAUUCUGGAUCUCUUCUGACGCUGAUGCACGAAAGCUAGGGUAGCAAACGGG
Molecule: ribosomal RNA, 253 nt
Filed under: uncultured bacterium
Lineage: Bacteria
Description: partial 16S ribosomal RNA
Rfam family: Bacterial small subunit ribosomal RNA
Source: RNAcentral